GCGAAGCUCGGAAUGCCGGUCCGGUACUGCAGCUGCCCAGCGAUGGGAUGUGCUCGUCUGGGCCGGUGUCCCUUCUCUAUUCCACCCCACUGUGAACCAAGCGUGCGAGCAGAAGAGAGAUCGGAAGCCCGCAUGCUCACUUUAACAUACCCCCGAUUAAGUAUCUGAAUGUACCUUGCGUUAACUCGCACAAAUA
This 196-nucleotide unclassified non-coding RNA is filed under the name uncultured Peniophora. Its description in RNAcentral is "sequence contains ITS1". Lineage: Eukaryota; Fungi; Basidiomycota; Agaricomycetes; Russulales; Lachnocladiaceae. The record is from RNAcentral.